This 1449-nucleotide long non-coding RNA is filed under the name Homo sapiens (human). RNAcentral's name for it is "HSALNT0350026". The stretch from base 624 to 792 matches the Rfam family "Pvt1 oncogene conserved region 4". Lineage: Eukaryota; Metazoa; Chordata; Mammalia; Primates; Hominidae. The record is from RNAcentral.
GACACAGUCCUGUGGUCAUAGCGAAUCUUUCUAAAGCUCUGAUCAGUCAAGAAGGGGGUUGUAUCAAUCCUCAGAACCCUGAGUGGAACUUUCUACAGGAUUUAUUAGGAGAAAAACCUUCCCGGAAGCUGCAGAAGGACAAAUACAGAAUCCGUGUCUGGGAGAAACCUCGUGGCCUGGUCUCCAUUAUUUGAGAUGAGUUACAUCUUGGAGGCCUGAUCUUUUGGCCAGAAGGAGAUUAAAAAGAUGCCCCUCAAGAUGGCUGUGCCUGUCAGCUGCAUGGAGCUUCGUUCAAGUAUUUUCUGAGCCUGAUGGAUUUACAGUGAUCUUCAGUGGUCUGGGGAAUAACGCUGGUGGAACCAUGCACUGGAAUGACACACGCCCGGCACAUUUCAGGAUACUAAAAGUGGUUUUAAGGGAGGCUGUGGCUGAAUGCCUCAUGGAUUCUUACAGCUUGGAUGUCCAUGGGGGACGAAGGACUGCAGCUGGCUGAGAGGGUUGAGAUCUCUGUUUACUUAGAUCUCUGCCAACUUCCUUUGGGUCUCCCUAUGGAAUGUAAGACCCCGACUCUUCCUGGUGAAGCAUCUGAUGCACGUUCCAUCCGGCGCUCAGCUGGGCUUGAGCUGACCAUACUCCCUGGAGCCUUCUCCCGAGGUGCGCGGGUGACCUUGGCACAUACAGCCAUCAUGAUGGUACUUUAAGUGGAGGCUGAAUCAUCUCCCCUUUGAGCUGCUUGGCACGUGGCUCCCUUGGUGUUCCCCUUUUACUGCCAGGACACUGAGAUUUGGAGAGAAUCCUGUUACACCUGGGAUUUAGGCACUUUCAAUCUGAAAAAAUACAUAUCCUUUCAGCACUCUGGACGGACUUGAGAACUGUCCUUACGUGACCUAAAGCUGGAGUAUUUUGAGAUUGGAGAAUUAAGAGCCAGUCUUGGUGCUCUGUGUUCACCUGGUUCAUCUGAGGAGCUGCAUCUACCCUGCCCAUGCCAUAGAUCCUGCCCUGUUUGCUUCUCCUGUUGCUGCUAGUGGACAUGAGAAGGACAGAAUAACGGGCUCCCAGAUUCACAAGCCCCACCAAGAGGAUCACCCCAGGAACGCUUGGAGGCUGAGGAGUUCACUGAGGCUACUGCAUCUUGAGACUCAGGAUGAAGACCCAGCUUGGGGCUGUCAAAGGUUUUUUGCAUGUCUGACACCCAUGACUCCACCUGGACCUUAUGGCUCCACCCAGAAGCAAUUCAGCCCAACAGGAGGACAGCUUCAACCCAUUACGAUUUCAUCUCUGCCCCAACCACUCAGCAGCAAGCACCUGUUACCUGUCCACCCCCACCCCUUCCCCCAAACUGCCUUUGAAAAAUCCCUAACCUAUGAGCUUUGAAUAAGAUGAGUACGAACUUCAUCGCCCACGUGGCGUGGCCGGCCUCGUGUCUAUUAAAUUCUUUUUCUACUACAA